RNAcentral lists this ribosomal RNA (520 nucleotides) under uncultured Glomus. Its description in RNAcentral is "SSU rRNA". It matches the Rfam family "Eukaryotic small subunit ribosomal RNA", at positions 569 to 1090 of the family's 1831-position model. Lineage: Eukaryota; Fungi; Glomeromycota; Glomeromycetes; Glomerales; Glomeraceae. The record is from RNAcentral.
AGCAGCCGCGGUAAUUCCAGCUCCAAUAGCGUAUAUUAAAGUUGUUGCAGUUAAAAAGCUCGUAGUUGAAUUUCGGGAUCAAUAUGUUGGUCGUGCCUUUGGUACGUACUAGCUUAUUGAUUUCUCCCUUCUGACGAACCAUGAUGUCAUUAAUUUGGUGUCAUGGGGAAUCAGGACUGUUACUUUGAAAAAAAUUAGAGUGUUUAAAGUAGGCUUACGCUUGAAUACAUUAGCAUGGAAUAAUGAAAUAGGACGUUUUGAUUCUAUUUUGUUGGUUUCUAGGAUCGACGUAAUGAUUAAUAGGGAUAGUUGGGGGCAUUAGUAUUCAAUUGUCAGAGGUGAAAUUCUUGGAUUUAUUGAAGACUAACUACUGCGAAAGCAUUUGCCAAGGAUGUUUUCAUUAAUCAAGAACGAAAGUUAGGGGAUCGAAGACGAUCAGAUACCGUCGUAGUCUUAACCAUAAACUAUGCCGACUAGGGAUCAGAUGAUGUUAAUUUUUAAUGACCCAUUCGGCGCCUUA